Molecule: small RNA, 555 nt
Filed under: Pongo abelii (Sumatran orangutan)
Lineage: Eukaryota; Metazoa; Chordata; Mammalia; Primates; Hominidae
Description: processed transcript
Source: RNAcentral
GGUCCUUGGAGAUUCAUCCAUUCCAGAGAGCCCAGGGAGGUCGGGCUUGGGUCAACAGGAGGGGAGAGCAGAGUCUGCUCAGGGAACCCCAGGAGUCACCAGUCCAAAGUCACCCAGGGAUGACUGUGUUUCUCACCUCUGGAGGACUCAGUGUUCAAGGUGCCAUCUUGGAAGCAGAGAGCAGCCCUCACUAGACUACAAACCUGCUGGCACUUUGAUCUUAGACUCCCCGCCCACCAGAACUCUCUCCACUCCCUUCCUAGACUUUCUUCAUAGAGCCAGAAGAGGGUACCGAAUUGGCCUGGACUGCUCAGCCUGUACGGUUCUGGGAGUUGGGUGGGGUGGAUGGAGUGAACUCAGCAGGCACCCUCAGCUCUGCUCUCCUGUGGUUGUGACUGGAUCUCCAGGAGGGACUUGGACUUUUCCAGGUGUUAGCACUGAAGAUGCUUUGGUGCUUCUCCACAGGGGAGAAAAUUCAAAAUAAAAACAAAACCAUAAACCAUACAAUACAACUUUUAUAUGGAUGCUAAAAAUAAAAUUUUUUUUCUUAAAGUU